This is a long non-coding RNA of Dendroctonus ponderosae (mountain pine beetle), 469 nucleotides long. RefSeq lists it as uncharacterized. NCBI's taxonomy places the organism in Eukaryota, Metazoa, Arthropoda, Insecta, Coleoptera, Curculionidae. The record is from RefSeq and is a predicted model, not a curated record. The transcript has 3 exons.
UGCGACCUUAAGUUUAUAUGAAAUAAAUUCCAAACAUAAACGCUUUAAACACGUUUAACAUGUAUAAACAAUUUUAAAAACUUUGGACUCAAGUUCAAAGAUGUGUUUUACAGAGUCCAAAAAUAUUAAUGUGUAUUUAACAUUUGCAUCACUUCCAUCCUGAUGAGACGAUCGACGAGACGGUUGGAUGAUCUCUCCAUUCGUCCGACGGCGUGCCAAUUUGAAAAAUAUUUAGAUACUUAUCAUAAUCAUCAUCAACGUUGAAUUUAUUUAAGUUUUAACAAUGGAAACUCAGCUUUCACGCGAAAAUAGGAACAACGAAGUGCUUCUGCUCUCAUUAUUAUGCAUGAAACCGAGAAAGUUAAAACACACGAAGAUUUCGGAUUCCAGACAUAUUUCUGAACCGAAAAGCACACGUAGGAUAAUUUAAUUUACUACAGGAAAAUAUAUUAAUACAUGAAGCCAUUCA